This 708-nucleotide ribosomal RNA is filed under the name uncultured bacterium. Its description in RNAcentral is "bacterial SSU rRNA". It matches the Rfam family "Bacterial small subunit ribosomal RNA", at positions 70 to 771 of the family's 1533-position model. The record is from RNAcentral.
UAUUGGAAGCUUGCUUCCGAUAGGCGUCGACCGGCGCACGGGUGAGUAACGCGUAUCCAACCUGCCCAUCACUUGGGGAUAACCUUGCGAAAGUAAAACUAAUACCCAAUGACGUCUCUAGAAGACAUCUGAAAGAGAUUAAAGAUUUAUCGGUGAUGGAUGGGGAUGCGUCUGAUUAGCUUGUUGGCGGGGUAACGGCCCACCAAGGCAACGAUCAGUAGGGGUUCUGAGAGGAAGGUCCCCCACAUUGGAACUGAGACACGGUCCAAACUCCUACGGGAGGCAGCAGUGAGGAAUAUUGGUCAAUGGACGAGAGUCUGAACCAGCCAAGUAGCGUGCAGGAUGACGGCCCUAUGGGUUGUAAACUGCUUUUAUAAGGGAAUAAAGUGAGUCUCGUGAGACUUUUUGCAUGUACCUUAUGAAUAAGGACCGGCUAAUUCCGUGCCAGCAGCCGCGGUAAUACGGAAGGUCCGGGCGUUAUCCGGAUUUAUUGGGUUUAAAGGGAGCGUAGGCCGGAGAUUAAGCGUGUUGUGAAAUGUAGACGCUCAACGUCUGCACUGCAGCGCGAACUGGUUUCCUUGAGUACGCACAAAGUGGGCGGAAUUCGUGGUGUAGCGGUGAAAUGCUUAGAUAUCACGAAGAACUCCGAUUGCGAAGGCAGCUCACUGGAGCGCAACUGACGCUGAAGCUCGAAAGUGCGGGUAUCGA